This 253-nucleotide ribosomal RNA is filed under the name uncultured bacterium. RNAcentral describes it as "partial 16S ribosomal RNA". It matches the Rfam family "Bacterial small subunit ribosomal RNA", at positions 524 to 776 of the family's 1533-position model. The record is from RNAcentral.
UAUGUAGGGAGCAAGCGUUGUCCGGAAUCAUUGGGCGUAAAGCGCGCGUAGGUGGCUUCGUAAGUCCGUUGUGAAAGUCAAAGGCUCAACCUUUGAAAGCCGAUGGAUACUGCGGAGCUAGAGUACGGAAGAGGCGAGUGGAAUUCCUGGUGUAGCGGUGGAAUGCGCAGAUAUCAGGAGGAACACCAAUAGCGAAGGCAGCUCGCUGGGACGUUACUGACACUGAGGCGCGAAAGCGUGGGGAGCAAACAGG